CGGCGGCGGCGCGUUAGCUCCCACCCGUUGGCAGCCGCCUCAGCUGCCGCUUCUCCGGGGCCGCGCACGCGCCGCCGCCGCCGCCCCCGGCCCGUGCUCGCACCGCGCCUGCCUCGCGCCUACCUUGGCCGGCGCUUGCCCGCUGCCGCCUGCCCGGCCUGCUCGGCGCCUUCUCGGCCUCGGCUCGGCGCCCGGAGCAUGCAGCAGCAGCCUGGGUGGCGGCGGCGGCCGUGAAGUAAGGGCCGUGCGCCCGGGCGGGCGGCGCGGGAGGGCGGCGGCGUCUUUGUUGCGGCCGGGCCGCCGCGGCCUUUGUCUGCAGAUGGUGGACGCGGGCGGUCGCUCUGCCGCCGAAGGCUGGAGGAGGAUGGAGGCACCCCCGGAGGGCGCGGAC
This 391-nucleotide long non-coding RNA is filed under the name Rattus norvegicus (Norway rat). Its description in RNAcentral is "long non-coding RNA NONRATT019065". The record is from RNAcentral. Lineage: Eukaryota; Metazoa; Chordata; Mammalia; Rodentia; Muridae.